This 1524-nucleotide ribosomal RNA is filed under the name Triticum aestivum (bread wheat). Its description in RNAcentral is "partial small subunit ribosomal RNA". The record is from RNAcentral. Lineage: Eukaryota; Viridiplantae; Streptophyta; Magnoliopsida; Poales; Poaceae.
AUGGACGGCCUCGCGGCGCCCUCACCCUCCCACUCCGGCGCCACGUCGGGCGGCGGCGCCUCCCACCGCAAGCGGAAGCUUCCGCCACCAUCCCUCUCUGACGCCACCGCCGACGAGGACGACGACACCACGGCGCCGUCGUCCCCCGCCACCUCCCUAUCCUCGCCUUCCCGCCCGUCGUCUCCGUCCUCCUCCCAUUCUGACGAGGAUGACGACGACUCCCUUACCACCUUCACCGCCGCUCGCCUCGAUGCCGCACCUGCAUCCUCAUCCGGCAGGCCUCCGAAGCCCGACUCGUCGUCCGCAUCUGCCGUCACAGCGGCGGCUCCUAAGCCCGAUGCCGCGUCCGCGGCGGCUGGAGACGGGAAGGAGGACUCCAAGGGGCUGUUCACGGACAAUAUCCAGACUAGUGGCGCUUACAGCGCCCGCGAGGAGGGUCUCAAGCGUGAGGAAGAUACAGGGAAGCUGAAAUUUCUCUGUUAUUCUAACGAUGGAGUCGACGAACAUAUGAUCUGGUUGGUAGGUUUGAAGAAUAUCUUUGCACGGCAGCUCCCUAAUAUGCCCAAGGAGUAUAUAGUCCGACUUGUUAUGGAUAGAACUCACAAGUCAAUGAUGGUUAUCAGGAAUAAUAAUGUUGUAGGAGGCAUUACUUACCGCCCUUAUGCAAGCCAGAGGUUCGGAGAAAUAGCAUUUUGUGCAAUUACAGCUGAUGAACAAGUUAAAGGCUACGGAACAAGGCUAAUGAAUCAUCUGAAGCAACAUGCCCGAGAUGCUGAUGGCCUCACUCAUUUCUUAACUUAUGCAGAUAACAAUGCUGUUGGUUAUUUUGUAAAGCAGGGUUUCACAAAGGAGAUCACAUUCGACAAAGAAAGAUGGCAGGGGUACAUCAAGGACUAUGAUGGAGGAAUACUGAUGGAGUGCAAAAUUGAUCAAAAGCUUCCGUAUGUUGAUCUAGCAACAAUGAUUCGGCGCCAAAGACAGGCAAUUGAUGAGAAGAUCAGAGAGCUUUCUAACUGUCAUAUUGUUUAUUCAGGAAUUGAUUUUCAAAAGAAAGAAGCUGGUAUUCCAAGAAGACUGAUGAAACCAGAAGAUAUCCCUGGGUUGAGGGAAGCUGGGUGGACUCCUGACCAGUGGGGGCAUUCCAAAUCACGUUCAACAUUUUCCUCGGAUUAUAACACUUACAGACAGCAGCUUACUAGCCUUAUGCGGAUGUUGUUGAAGAGUUUGGUCGAUCAUGCCGAUGCUUGGCCAUUCAAAGAGCCGGUGGAUUCACGUGAUGUUCCAGAUUAUUAUGAUAUUAUCAAAGAUCCUAUUGAUUUGAAGACAAUGUCCAGAAGAGUUGAGUCGGAGCAGUAUUAUGUGACCUUAGAGAUGUUUGUAGCCGACUUAAAGAGAAUGUUCAUUAAUGCGAGAACCUACAACUCUCCUGAUACGAUCUAUUUCAAAUGCUCCACACGGCUCGAGGCCUACUUCACAAAUAGAAUCCAAUCUCACCUUGCCCAGGCUGCGUCAACCAAGAACUAG